Molecule: ribosomal RNA, 497 nt
Filed under: uncultured bacterium
Lineage: Bacteria
Description: partial 16S ribosomal RNA
Rfam family: Bacterial small subunit ribosomal RNA
Source: RNAcentral
GAUGAACGCUGGCGGCGUGCCUAAUACAUGCAAGUCGAGCGAACAGACGAGGAGCUUGCUCCUCUGACGUUAGCGGCGGACGGGUGAGUAACACGUGGAUAACCUACCUAUAAGACUGGGAUAACUUCGGGAAACCGGAGCUAAUACCGGAUAAUAUAUUGAACCGCAUGGUUCAAUAGUGAAAGACGGUUUUGCUGUCACUUAUAGAUGGAUCCGCGCCGCAUUAGCUAGUUGGUAAGGUAACGGCUUACCAAGGCAACGAUGCGUAGCCGACCUGAGAGGGUGAUCGGCCACACGGGAACGGAGACACGGUCCAGACUCCUACGGGAGGCAGCAGUAGGGAAUCUUCCGCAAUGGGCGAAAGCCUGACGGAGCAACGCCGCGUGAGUGAUGAAGGUCUUCGGAGCGUAAAACUCUGUUAUGAGGGAAGAACAAAUGUGUAAGUAACUAUGCACGUCUUGACGGUACCUAAUCAGAAAGCCACGGCUAACUACGUG